GGAGAGAUGGCAGAGUCCGGUUGAAUGCACCUGACUUGAAAUCAGGCGUGGGUUUGCGCCCACCGGGGGUUCGAAUCCCUCUCUCUCCGCCA
RNAcentral lists this transfer RNA (92 nucleotides) under Pseudidiomarina taiwanensis. Its description in RNAcentral is "Idiomarina taiwanensis tRNA-Ser". It matches the Rfam family "tRNA". From Rfam's summary of the family: Transfer RNA (tRNA) molecules are approximately 80 nucleotides in length. The record is from RNAcentral. Lineage: Bacteria; Pseudomonadati; Pseudomonadota; Gammaproteobacteria; Alteromonadales; Idiomarinaceae.